This 482-nucleotide ribosomal RNA is filed under the name uncultured bacterium. RNAcentral describes it as "partial 16S ribosomal RNA". It matches the Rfam family "Bacterial small subunit ribosomal RNA", at positions 30 to 507 of the family's 1533-position model. The record is from RNAcentral.
AUUGAACGCUGGCGGCAUGCCUUACACAUGCAAGUCGAACGGUAACAGGUCUUCGGAUGCUGACGAGUGGCGAACGGGUGAGUAAUACAUCGGAACGUGCCCGAUCGUGGGGGAUAACGAGGCGAAAGCUUUGCUAAUACCGCAUACGAUCUACGGAUGAAAGCGGGGGAUCUUCGGACCUCGCGCGGACGGAGCGGCCGAUGGCAGAUUAGGUAGUUGGUGGGAUAAAAGCUUACCAAGCCGACGAUCUGUAGCUGGUCUGAGAGGAUGAUCAGCCACACUGGGACUGAGACACGGCCCAGACUCCUACGGGAGGCAGCAGUGGGGAAUUUUGGACAAAGGGCGAAAGCCUGAUCCAGCCAUGCCGCGUGCAGGAUGAAGGCCUUCGGGUUGUAAACUGCUUUUGUACGGAACGAAAAGCCUCUUGCUAAUAAAGAGGGGUCAUGACGGUACCGUAAGAAUAAGCACCGGCUAACUACGUG